This 555-nucleotide ribosomal RNA is filed under the name Lumbricus rubellus (humus earthworm). RNAcentral describes it as "partial 16S ribosomal RNA". Lineage: Eukaryota; Metazoa; Annelida; Clitellata; Crassiclitellata; Lumbricidae. The record is from RNAcentral.
CCUUAAUAAAUCUUAAAAGAUCUAUUUAAUAAAAACACUUAAACCAAUAAUUUCAUAAAUCACACUCACAAGUACUAUAAAGGAAAUAUUAACAUACUAAAGUAGUGCUUAACACACGUACCUUGUGCAUCAUGGUUUUACAAGUAAUAAAUUAAUAAUAAUCCCCGAAUUCUAAGCGAGCUGCCCCAUUAUAGCUAAGAGCCCACCACUAGUUGUAGCAUCAACUUUGGAAAAUAGUGGGGUAGUGGCUACAUACCAAACGCGCUAGAAAAUCUCUGGUUUUCAGUAAAAUUUACAAAUAAAACAUGUAGUCCUACUACAUUGCAAAAUUAUAGAGGAUAAGCCCUAUAAUUAAAACCAGAUAUCAAAUAUUUCUUAAAUAGGCCUAAAACCAGCCACUAAUAAUACCUUACCGUAACACCUUAUUAAUCAUUUACCAAAUCUGUUAAGAAAAACUGAAAUUUUUUGAUAAAUUAACAAUCUAAAAAUAUUAUGUAAAAAUAAGUAUUAACCUAAUAACCUAUAUUAAAACUACCUUUCAAAUUUAUUAUACUA